GACGAACGCUGGCGGCGUGCUUAACACAUGCAAGUCGAACGGAAAGGCCCUGCUUUUGUGGGGUGCUCGAGUGGCGAACGGGUGAGUAACACGUGAGUAACCUGCCCUUGACUUUGGGAUAACUUCAGGAAACUGGGGCUACUACCGGAUAGGAGCUCCUGCUGCAUGGUGGGGGUUGGAACGUUUCGGCGGUUGGGGAUGGACUCGCGGCUUAUCAGCUUGUUGGUGGGGUAGUGGCUUACCAAGGCUUUGACGGGUAGCCGGCCUGAGAGGGUGACCGGCCACAUUGGGACUGAGAUACGGCCCAGACUCCUACGGGAGGCAGCAGGGGGGAAUAUUGCACAAUGGGCGGAAGCCUGAUGCAGCAACGCCGCGUGCGGGAUGACGGCCUUCGGGUUGUAAACCGCUUUCGCCUGUGACGAAGCGUGAGUGACGGUAAUGGGUAAAGAAGCACCGGCUAACUACGUG
Molecule: ribosomal RNA, 468 nt
Filed under: uncultured bacterium
Lineage: Bacteria
Description: partial 16S ribosomal RNA
Rfam family: Bacterial small subunit ribosomal RNA
Source: RNAcentral